Molecule: non-coding RNA, 300 nt
Filed under: Capsicum annuum
Lineage: Eukaryota; Viridiplantae; Streptophyta; Magnoliopsida; Solanales; Solanaceae
Description: Bacterial large subunit ribosomal RNA
Rfam family: Bacterial large subunit ribosomal RNA
Source: Rfam by way of RNAcentral
CAUUGGUAAGAAUCCAAUGCCCUAAAAACCUAAGGGUUCCUCUGCAAGGUUCGUCUACGAAGGGUGAGUUAGGGCCUAAGAUUAGGCCAAAAGGUGUAGUCGACGGACAACAGGUGAAUAUUCCUGUACUAUACCUUGUUGGUCUUGAGAGAUGAAGGAGGCUAGGUUAGUCAAAAGAUGGUUAUCAGUUCAAGAACAUAGACUAACUAUCUCUAAACAUUGUCUCCCCAUGUGAUACAGGGUUCUAAGGAAAUUCUACUUUUCCUGCAUAAUGUUAGGUAGAUCAGCCCAGUUUAUCGG